Molecule: ribosomal RNA, 253 nt
Filed under: uncultured bacterium
Lineage: Bacteria
Description: partial 16S ribosomal RNA
Rfam family: Bacterial small subunit ribosomal RNA
Source: RNAcentral
UACAGAGGGUGCGAGCGUUAAUCGGAGUUACUGGGCGUAAAGGGCGCGUAGGCGGCGAUGUAAGUUAGAUGUGAAAUCCCUGGGCUUAACCUAGGAACUGCAUCUAGAACUGCAUUGCUAGAGUAUUGUAGAGGGUAGUGGAAUUUCCGGUGUAGCGGUGAAAUGCGUAGAGAUCGGAAGGAACACCAGUGGCGAAGGCGGCUACCUGGACAAAUACUGACGCUGAGGCGCGAAAGCGUGGGGAGCAAACAGG